GAUGAACGCUGGCGGCGUGCCUAAUACAUGCAAGUCGAGCGAACAGACGAGGAGCUUGCUCCUCUGACGUUAGCGGCGGACGGGUGAGUAACACGUGGAUAACCUACCUAUAAGACUGGGAUAACUUCGGGAAACCGGAGCUAAUACCGGAUAAUAUAUUGAACCGCAUGGUUCAAUAGUGAAAGACGGUUUUGCUGCCACUUAUAGAUGGAUCCGCGCUGCAUUAGCUAGUUGGUAAGGUAACGGCUUACCAAGGCAACGAUGCGUAGCCGACCUGAGAGGGUGAUCGGCCACACUGGAACUGAGACACGGUCCAGACUCCUACGGGAGGCAGCAGUAGGGAAUCUUCCGCAAUGGGCGAAAGCCUGACGGAGCAACGCCGCGUGAGUGAUGAAGGUCUUCGGAUCGUAAAACUCUGUUAUUAGGGAAGAACAAAUGUGUAAGUAACUAUGCACAUCUUGACGGUACCUAAUCAGAAAGCCACGGCUAACUACGUG
This 497-nucleotide ribosomal RNA is filed under the name uncultured bacterium. Its description in RNAcentral is "partial 16S ribosomal RNA". It matches the Rfam family "Bacterial small subunit ribosomal RNA", at positions 28 to 507 of the family's 1533-position model. The record is from RNAcentral.